UGUCUUGCAGAUGGAGGAUCCA
This 22-nucleotide non-coding RNA is filed under the name Arabidopsis thaliana (thale cress). The record is from RNAcentral. Lineage: Eukaryota; Viridiplantae; Streptophyta; Magnoliopsida; Brassicales; Brassicaceae.